UCAUGGACGAGAGUCUGAACCAGCCAAGUAGCGUGAAGGAUGACUGCCCUAUGGGUUGUAAACUUCUUUUAUACGGGAAUAAAGUGAGGCACGUGUGCCUUUUUGUNNNUACCGUAUGAAUAAGGAUCGGCUAACUCCGUGCCAGCAGCCGCGGUAAUACGGAGGAUCCGAGCGUUAUCCGGAUUUAUUGGGUUUAAAGGGAGCGUAGAUGGAUGUUUAAGUCAGUUGUGAAAGUUUGCGGCUCAACCGUAAAAUUGCAGUUGAUACUGGAUAUCUUGAGUGCAGUUGAGGCAGGCGGAAUUCGUGGUGUAGCGGUGAAAUGCUUAGAUAUCACGAAGAACUCCGAUUGCGAAGGCAGCCUGCUAAGCUGCAACUGACAUUGAGGCUCGAAAGUGUGGGUAUCAAACAGGAUUAGAUACCCUGGUAGUCCAAGGGCGAAUUC
Molecule: ribosomal RNA, 442 nt
Filed under: uncultured bacterium
Lineage: Bacteria
Description: SSU rRNA
Rfam family: Bacterial small subunit ribosomal RNA
Source: RNAcentral